This 253-nucleotide ribosomal RNA is filed under the name uncultured bacterium. RNAcentral describes it as "partial 16S ribosomal RNA". It matches the Rfam family "Bacterial small subunit ribosomal RNA", at positions 524 to 776 of the family's 1533-position model. The record is from RNAcentral.
UACGGAGGGUGCAAGCAUUAAUCGGAUUUACUGGGUGUAAAGAGUGCGUAGGCGGAUAGAUAAGUCAGAUGUGAAAUUCCGUUGCUUAACAUCGGAGCUGCAUUUGAUACUGCCUAUCUUGAGGGUAGACGGAGAAAACGGAAUUCCACGUGUAGCGGUGAAAUGCGUAGAUAUGUGGAAGAACACCUGUGGCGUAAGCGGUUUUCUAAUUUAUUCCUGACGCUGAGGUACGAGAGCAAGGGGAGCAAACAGG